UAAGUCAAGAAGGGACCUAUGAGGGACAUU
Molecule: non-coding RNA, 30 nt
Filed under: Rattus norvegicus (Norway rat)
Lineage: Eukaryota; Metazoa; Chordata; Mammalia; Rodentia; Muridae
Source: RNAcentral